GCACCCCAGUUCAGGCGGGGCUACCCGAU
This 29-nucleotide ribosomal RNA is filed under the name Opuntia robusta (nopal tapon). RNAcentral describes it as "partial 26S ribosomal RNA". The record is from RNAcentral. Lineage: Eukaryota; Viridiplantae; Streptophyta; Magnoliopsida; Caryophyllales; Cactaceae.